GAUGAACGCUGGCGGCGUGCCUAAUACAUGCAAGUCGAACGAAACUUCUUUAUCACCGAGUGCUUGCGCUCACCGAUAAAGAGUUGAGUGGCGAACGGGUGCGUAACACGUGGGCAACCUGCCCAAAAGAGGGGGAUAACACUUGGAAACAGGUGCUAAUACCGCAUAACCAUAGUUACCGCAUGGUAACUAUGUAAAAGGUGGCUAUACUACCGCUUUUGGAUGGGCCCGCGGCGCAUUAGCUAGUUGGUAGGGUAAAGGCUUACCAAGGCAAUGAUGCGUAGCCGAAUUGAGAGGUUGAUCGGCCACAUUGGGACUGAGACACGGCCCAAACUCCUACGGGAGGCAGCAGUAGGGAAUCUUCCACAAUGGGCGAAAGCCUGAUGGAGCAACGCCGCGUGGGUGAAGAAGGUCUUCGGAUCGUAAAACCCUGUUGUUAGAGAAGAAAGUGCGUGAGAGUAACUGUUCACGUUUCGACGGUAUCUAACCAGAAAGCCAUGGCUAACUACGUG
Molecule: ribosomal RNA, 512 nt
Filed under: uncultured bacterium
Lineage: Bacteria
Description: partial 16S ribosomal RNA
Rfam family: Bacterial small subunit ribosomal RNA
Source: RNAcentral